Molecule: long non-coding RNA, 234 nt
Organism: Vanessa tameamea
Lineage: Eukaryota; Metazoa; Arthropoda; Insecta; Lepidoptera; Nymphalidae
Exons: 2
Source: RefSeq, a predicted model, not a curated record
CGCCGCCGCGCCCCACGCGCAGCGCGCCGCCCAGCGCGACCACACCGCCGCCCAAUCCGCCGGCUCUGUGCGAGCAGGGCCACCCGUUACCGAAACCGUAAUUCACUAGAAUAGCAGCAGCAGUAAGUAACCGGCAAAGCGAUCGCGUCUGCGGGCUGCACGCACAGCACGACGAGAGCGCGCGACAGCAGCUCCGUCAGCUCGGCCUCCUCCACGGACGGCGCUGCGGACACA